GAUGAAGAACGUAGCGAAAUGCGAUAAGUAGUGUGAAUUGCAGAAUUCAGUGAAUCAUCGAAUCUUUGAACGCACAUUGCGCCCCUUGGUAUCCCGAGGGGCAUGCCUGUUCGAGCGUCAUUUCACCACUCAAGCCUGGCUUGGUGUUGGGCGACGUCCCCUUUAGGGACGCGCCUCGAAACGCUCGGCGGCGCGGCACCGGCUUUAAGCGUAGCAGAAUCUUUCGCUUUGGAAGCCGGGGCCCCGCCUGCCGGAAUACCUACUUGUAAGGUUGACCUCGGAUCAGGCAGGGAUACCCGCUGAACUUAAGCAUAUCAAUAAGCGGAGGA
Molecule: unclassified non-coding RNA, 329 nt
Filed under: soil metagenome
Description: partial contains 5.8S ribosomal RNA, internal transcribed spacer 2, and large subunit ribosomal RNA
Rfam family: 5.8S ribosomal RNA (bases 1-120)
Source: RNAcentral